CUCCUCUUCUUCUUCUUCUUCUUCUUCUUCUUCAUGUUCUUCUCCUUACUCUUUUAUUUUCUAAAUUUAAAAAAUAUUGAUUUUAUGUCGCUGUUGUUAGAAGGGUCGUUUGUUUGUGUGAUUUUCUCAUCUGGGUUCUCUCUUUUUUCUCUGUAAACAACAAUUUCUUUAUCGCACUAGUAGAUGAAAAACAAGGAAAUUGCCUUUUUCUUCCCCUGAAAUUUGGGUUUUUCUGAUCCGAGAGAGAGUGGCCCAGUAGAUCGAAGAUUUCGAUCUAAAUUUUUCCUUUAAUGGCGUUUCCGCUAUAAAUAUAUUCCCUCGUUUCCCAUAUUUUGUUUGGGUUCCAAAUUCUCUGCGGCUGAGGUUGAAUUUUCUAUGAUUACGAGAUUUUCUCCCUUUCUCUCUCUCUCUCUCUCUGUUUGGAAUCAGAUUUUUCUGUGAAAGUGUCGAGGACUGGCGAUGAGAGGAUGUGGGUCUGAGGAAUGGGAACGAAAGUGCAGCGUGAAAGUUUAUUGCCGGGAUAUCAUCACUCUAUGAGGGAUCUCAACGAAGAUUCUAGUGGUUGUAGCUUAGCGAAUAGUCAAUACUAUAAUGGUUUCCCACCGAGGAAUAUGGCAGAUUCAUACCUCGGGUAUGAAAAAGAUUUAGUCAGAAGGACGAUGCUUGAACAUGAGGCUGUAUUUAAGAGUCAGGUCUAUGAACUUCACCGCCUGUACAGAAUACAGAGGGAAAUGAUGGAUGAAUUGAAAAGGAAAGAGAUAAGUAGAAACCGGGUUUUAGUCGGGGCAUCGUUUUCAUCGAGCCCCUUACUGUCUCAAGUUACUUAUGAUGAAGCCCGGAAAUGGCAAAUGCCGAAUUUCCCAUCGGCCAAUUUGGUUUACGAUAGACCAUCCAUGUCGGUGGUUGAGGAUAAUGGUCACCACUCCCCAAUGAGUUCCAGGAAAGGAAGCAAUUCUCAAGUAGGCCCAGUUCCAUCACAAAAUGGAUCUUGCUCGAAGGAUGUUGAACUAUUGGAGGUUAAACCUGUAAAAGCCAGGAAAAAGAUGAUGAUGAUAGAUCUUCAUCUUCCGGCUGAUGAGUACAUCGAUACCGAAGAAACCGUUGAGUUUAAAGAUAAUUACAGGACUAGUGGCAAUUCAAGUCAUCUUCCUGAUGGGGACUUGAAAGUUGAAUGUCAGGGAGAUUCUUUGAGGAUCAGUUCAGAUUUUCGGAGCAGCAAUUGUUUGGGUGACUUGAAUGAACCAAUCAAGAAGGCUCGAGAAGCAAAUGGGUUUGCAUAUGGAUAUCCCCGUGAUUCAUGUAACAGUGAGUUUCAAGGCCAAAAUCUCUGCAACGGAAUGAAGAUACCGUCCAUGGAAGUAUCACUUCAUUCGGGUAGUGAAAGGGAACAUCUUACUGGUAUCUCUCAACAUUCAGACAAGAAUGGGGUUCAGAAAGUUCAGUCUUUGGGAGUCGGUCAUUAUACCGACAUCCAGAAAUCUGCUUACCCAUUUCUUCAACCGGCCAAGGCAUUGAGUUCAUCCCAUCUUACGCAAGUCACGUCUUAUAAUUCACGGAAAGUUCUCGAAUUUCCUCAUUCGGGUUGGAGAGAGAGGACGUUUAUUGAUCUAGAAGCCGACACGAGUAGUCGUGAAGUUAUCAUCCAUCAAAGUCACUUGGAAUCAAGUGUGGCUUCUAACGCUCAUAGCUUGCAUCCCUGUAACCCUCCUGCUUCUGUUCAACAAUGGAACCAUUUGAACUCAUCUCGGGGAAACUCUAGUUUUGGAUUCUUCCCUCGGGAAGUUGGGUCAGGCGCAGCUCAGAUACACCCGUUUCAAAACUUUUCCAACCCUCUGAGUGGCAGUGAUUCUCAGAAACAGGGGUUUCUCAUGGACAAGUCGCAGUCUGACAACAAUUCUAGGUUUAACAUGGGGUUCGGGAAUAGCAGGAACGGGUUUUACCUCGGGUCCUCCUCUGCUUCCAAAGAAAUUCAAUCAAACUUUUUGGCAGUAGGCUAUGGUUAUGUGAACGGGAGAAGUGAACACAGCCCGGGAAACAUAUACCAGGAUUCAUAUGGCUCGGAGAUGAAGCCUGCGAGAGACGUGGAUUUGAAUGUGACGGUUUCAAACGUAGAGAAAGGGCAUCUGGCCAUUUUACCGUGGCUAGAUUCCAAGCCUGCUUGUAAGAGUGAGAUAGCUGGUGGGCAAUGUGAUCCUAUGACUGGCUGUACUCUGAAUUCCCCGGCAAUCAAUGAUGACCCGAGGAACAAAGCUCAGAAUGGUUUGUGCUCUGAGAAUUGGAGAUCUGUUCUUUGUUCCGAUAACUCCGGGACCAAGAAUAUCGAUGCUAUUGACUGCUCGGCUAAUGGAAAAAUUAUCGGGCGACCCGCUUUUGAUGAACCUUGUAGAUAUGGAGACCAAUUCAAUGGAGAAAAAGGUAAGGGGCAUAACGUUCGGAUGUUUGACAUCAACGUUCCCUGUGAUCCUGAAGCUGUUCUCUCAGAUGAGGAUCGAUCAACAGAGGAUCAAACCCGGACAGAGAUUUCUGCUGGUUUUAGGUUUCAGAUUGACUUGAACAUGUCUGUUACUGAAGAUGAAGACUGUUCUUCGAUUCCCGGUUCAAGAUUAAAUGCAAAGGUACCCAUGAUAGAUCUGGAAGCUCCUGCAAUUCUCGAGUCUGAUGAAGACGAUGCACCCGAAGAAACUCAGAAACCGGUGGAAGAACAAGAGAAGAUGGCAGCAGAGGCAAUAGUGACAAUCUCUUCAGCUUGUCAGCUCAGAGAUACAGCAGCUAUUGGAGUUUUUGCUCGUCCUUCAUCUUCAGCAGAAUCUUCUGAGCAUAUCCUGCAAUGGUUUGCUGAAACAAUAUACGUUCAUGGAGAGAAUAUUGACCAAAAGCUCGACACUUUCUUGACAAGUAAGGGUUCCCAGAAGAACAAUGGUGCAUCAUCAUCAUCUUCCAUCGACGAAGAGGUUGAUUACUUCGAGGCAAUGACAUUGCAGCUACCCGAGGUCACGGAAGACGGGUACAUGCCCAAGUCAUCGGUUCCGGAAGGCCUCAAAUUCGAGGAGCCCUCGGGGCCUGCGUUGGUUUCGGGCCAACGACCUAGAAGAGGAAGCUCGAGAAGGGGAAGGCAGAGGAGGGAUUUCCAAAGGGACAUUCUCCCGGGGCUCAUGUCUCUUUCGAGGCACGAAGUUACGGAAGAUAUCCAGAUGUUCGACGGAUUCAUGAGAGCAAUGGGAAUCACGUGGAUUUCGAGUUCAGCAAGACGGAAAACCGGCUCGACCCGAGGAAGAAGAAGAAGGCAUAUAACAGCCAUUCCCCCAUCCGGUCAACAUCUAAACAACGGCAAUGGCGAUAUAGAAGCUGGUUUAGAAGAUAGAAACCUUACAGGAUGGGGGAAGAUGACGAGAAGGCCGAGAAGACAACGAUGUCCUCCUACUGGUAAUCGUUAUUCCCAUACAUCAUUUGCGUGUUAAUAACAAUACCCUUUUGAGAUUCUUCUGGGAAAUGGCGAUCGAAUCGUGGUAGAGAAGGUGAAAGAUGAAGAAGGUGAAACGGAAGUGCCAUUGAUGAUGAUGUUUUCGUUGUAAGAUAAGAUAACAUUUUACGAGGCUAUUUUCUCAGUUUCUGCCUGCAAAUUUGGUGUGGAAUGCACGCGCGGAAGGGGCGCGUGAGGGGAGGAAAAGAUUUUGACUUGAGAGUAACCAAUCAAGUAAAAAGACAUCUUUUGGUACAUCGAAUCAGCUCUCCGACACAAACGCGCACACAAAAAAAACAAACAAACAUAUUUUCAGUUUCCACUUGUUUAUAUAUUUAUGGAUUUAUUUUAUUUUUCAUGUCCCACCCACCUUUUGCUUCUGGGCUUUUGGUCCGUCUUUUCGCAUUUGUUCCACCGUUGUCCAGUUUUUAAUAUAGAAUUUUAGUUAU
This is an RNA transcript of Tarenaya hassleriana, 3909 nucleotides long. RefSeq lists it as uncharacterized. The record is from RefSeq and is a predicted model, not a curated record. The transcript is spliced from 5 exons. Lineage: Eukaryota; Viridiplantae; Streptophyta; Magnoliopsida; Brassicales; Cleomaceae.